GACGAACGCUGGCGGCGUGCUUAACACAUGCAAGUCGAACGGUGAAGCGCCUUCCUUUUUGGUGGGUGUGGAUGAGUGGCGAACGGGUGAGUAACACGUGAGUAACCUGCCCCCUUCUUCUGGAUAACCGCAUGAAAGUGUGGCUAAUACGGGAUAUUCUGGGUCUGUCGCAUGAUGGGUCUGGGAAAGAUAUUGUUUCGGUGGGGGAUGGGCUCGCGGCCUAUCAGCUUGUUGGUGGGGUGAUGGCCUACCAAGGCGGUGUCGGGUAGCCGGCCUGAGAGGGUGGACGGUCACACUGGGACUGAGACACGGCCCAGACUCCUACGGGAGGCAGCAGUGGGGAAUAUUGCACAAUGGGCGCAAGCCUGAUGCAGCGACGCCGCGUGAGGGAUGGAGGCCUUCGGGUUGUGAACCUCUUUCGCCAGUGAAGCGGGCCUGCCUCGUUUGUGGGUGGGUUGACGGUAGCUGGAUAAGAAGCGCCGGCUAACUACGUG
Molecule: ribosomal RNA, 494 nt
Filed under: uncultured bacterium
Lineage: Bacteria
Description: partial 16S ribosomal RNA
Rfam family: Bacterial small subunit ribosomal RNA
Source: RNAcentral